AAAAAAAAAAACAACUCACCUUCGGUAUAGGCAUCAUGUCUAAAACGAUUCUACUACGAAGACCUACCUCUGUGAGAGCAGCUGUUGUGUGAAGGUAUUGUCAUGGAGUGAAUGUUUGUGUCACCCCGCCCUCCCCAAUUUCUGUGUGGAAACCCAGCCCCCAGGGUGAUGGUGUUAGGAGCUCGGGCCUUUGGGGUGGUUAGGUCAUGAAGGUGGAACCCUCAUGAAUGGCAUCGGUGCUUUAGAAAAGAGACCCCAGAGAGCUCUCUGGCCCCUUCCACCACGAGGGGACACAGCGAGAAGACCGCGUCUGCGCCUCAGAGGAGAGCUCUCAUCAGAACCCGAUCAUGCCGGCUCCUUGAUCUUGGACUUCCAGCCUCCAGAAUGGUGAUGGAUAGAUAAACCGUGGGCCCUGCAGACAAUGGGAUGUCGUUCAGCACUAACAAGAAGUGAGCUCUCAAGCCACGGCAACCCAUGGAGGAAGCUGAGAUGCGUGUCACUAAGUGAAAGAAGCCGGUCCGAAAAGGCCACGUGCUGUGACUCCUGGAAGAGGCAGAACUAUGGAGACAGUAAAUGACGAUGUGUGGCUGCCAGGCGAUCCAGGGUGGGGAAGGCGGAGCGGCGCGUGGGUGAGGCACAGAGAAAUUUGAGGGCGUUGACACCGUUCUCUACCCCGUAAUGGUGGGUACAUGACAUGCGUUCGUCCAAACCCGCAGAAUGAGUGUCCAAGACCAAGAGUGAGCCUUAAUGUAAGGUGUGCAAUGUAUCGAUAUUGGUUCCUUCACUGUAACAGACGUACCAACUAAUGCAAGAUGCUGUUAGCAGGAGAGACCUGUGAUGACAGGAGGGCGUACCUGAGCUCUGUACCAGCUGCUCAACUUUUCUGUAGAUCUAAAGCUGUAGAAAGAAUCUAUUUAUUAAAAAAAACCUUCCAA
Neofelis nebulosa (Clouded leopard) is the source of this 935-nucleotide long non-coding RNA. RefSeq lists it as uncharacterized. The transcript has 2 exons. The record is from RefSeq and is a predicted model, not a curated record. Lineage: Eukaryota; Metazoa; Chordata; Mammalia; Carnivora; Felidae.